RNAcentral lists this ribosomal RNA (477 nucleotides) under uncultured bacterium. RNAcentral describes it as "bacterial SSU rRNA". It matches the Rfam family "Bacterial small subunit ribosomal RNA", at positions 29 to 506 of the family's 1533-position model. The record is from RNAcentral.
ACGAACGCUGGCGGCGUGCCUAACACAUGCAAGUCUGGGAGAAUUGGGUAGCAAUAUCCAUAGUAAACCGGCGCACGGGUGAGUAAUAUAUAGGUAAUAUGCCUUUUGGUUUGGGAUAACCCCGCGAAAGCGGGGCUAAUACCGAAUGAAGUUCCGAGACGGCCUCGUUUCGGGAUUAAAGCUUCGGCGCCAAGAGAUUAACCUGUAUCCCAUUAGAUAGUUGGCGAGGUAACGGCUCACCAAGUCUGCGAUGGGUAGCUGAUCUGAGAGGAUGAUCAGCCACACUGGAACUGAGACACGGUCCAGACUCCUACGGGAGGCAGCAGUGAGGAAUAUUGCGCAAUGGAGGAAACUCUGACGCAGCGACGCCGCGUGAAGGAUGAAGGCCCUCUGGGUUGUAAACUUCUGUAGAGAGGGAAGAAUUUUUCGCUUCGCGAAAUUGACGGUACCUCUAAAGUAAGGGUCGGCUAACUACGU